GCCAAGCCAAAAGGUCAUAAAAGCACAUUAUGCUUGUAUAUAAGUAUUUUUAUGCCUUUAUACCCCCGAAAUGAGGAUAAAAGUGGUGUCUAUGCACCAUGAUAUCUGAAUUUUGGGCAGGAUUGUGGGAACACCAAGUGCGGAGCAAUCCGUCAG
Molecule: small RNA, 156 nt
Filed under: uncultured Blautia sp.
Lineage: Bacteria; Bacillati; Bacillota; Clostridia; Lachnospirales; Lachnospiraceae
Description: Clostridiales-1 RNA
Rfam family: Clostridiales-1 RNA
Source: RNAcentral